GAUCCUGGCUCAGGAUGAACGCUAGCUACAGGCUUAACACAUGCAAGUCGAGGGGAAACGACAUCGAAAGCUUGCUUUUGAUGGGCGCCGACCGGCGCACGGGUGAGUAACGCGUAUCCAACCUGCCCAUCACUUGGGGAAUAACCUUGCGAAAGUAAGACUAAUGCCCAAUGAUAUCCCACAAAGGCAUCCGAAUGGGAUUAAAGAUUUAUCGGUGAUGGAUGGGGAUGCGUCUGAUUAG
This 241-nucleotide ribosomal RNA is filed under the name uncultured bacterium. Its description in RNAcentral is "partial 16S ribosomal RNA". It matches the Rfam family "Bacterial small subunit ribosomal RNA", at positions 15 to 244 of the family's 1533-position model. The record is from RNAcentral.